Molecule: ribosomal RNA, 564 nt
Filed under: uncultured bacterium
Lineage: Bacteria
Description: partial 16S ribosomal RNA
Rfam family: Bacterial small subunit ribosomal RNA
Source: RNAcentral
UAGGGAAUCUUCCACAAUGGACGCAAGUCUGAUGGAGCAACGCCGCGUGAGUGAAGAAGGUUUUCGGACCGUAAAGCUCUGUUGUUGGUGAAGAAGGAUAGAGGUAGUAACUGGCCUUUAUUUGACGGUAAUCAACCAGAAAGUCACGGCUAACUACGUGCCAGCAGCCGCGGUAAUACGUAGGUGGCAAGCGUUGUCCGGAUUUAUUGGGCGUAAAGCGAGCGCAGGCGGAAGAAUAAGUCUGAUGUGAAAGCCCUCGGCUUAACCGAGGAAUUGCAUCGGAAACUGUUUUCUUGAGUGCAGAAGAGGAGAGUAGAACUCCAUGUGUAGCGGUGGAAUGCGUAGAUAUAUGGAAGAAUACCAGUGGCGAAGGCGGCUCUCUGGUCUGCAACUGACGCUGAGGCUCGAAAGCAUGGGUAGCGAACAGGAUUAGAUACCCUGGUAGUCCAUGCCGUAAACGAUGAGUGCUAAGUGUUGGGAGGCUUCCGCCUCUCAGUGCUGCAGCUAACGCAUUAAGCACUCCGCCUGGGGGAGUACGACCGCAAGGUUGAAACUCAAAGUGAA